Molecule: ribosomal RNA, 449 nt
Filed under: uncultured bacterium
Lineage: Bacteria
Description: bacterial SSU rRNA
Rfam family: Bacterial small subunit ribosomal RNA
Source: RNAcentral
UGCCAGACUCCUACGGGAGGCAGCAGUGGGGGAUAUUGCACAAUGGGGGAAACCCUGAUGCAGCGACGCCGCGUGGGUGAAGAAGUAUUUCGGUAUGUAAAGCCCUAUCAGCAGGGAAGAACGAAGACGGUACCUGACUAAGAAGCCCCGGCUAACUACGUGCCAGCAGCCGCGGUAAUACGUAGGGGGCGAGCGUUAUCCGGAUUUACUGGGUGUAAAGGGAGCGUAGACGGCAGUGCAAGUCUGGAGUGAAAGGCGGGGGCUCAACCCCCGGACUGCUCUGGAAACUGUACGGCUGGAGUGCAGGAGAGGUAAGUGGAAUUCCUAGUGUAGCGGUGAAAUGCGUAGAUAUUAGGAGGAACACCAGUGGCGAAGGCGGCUUACUGGACUGUAACUGACGUUGAGGCUCGAAAGCGUGGGGAGCAAACAGGAUUAGAUACCCUCGUAAG